Non-coding RNA from Heterocephalus glaber (naked mole-rat), 2538 nucleotides. NCBI's taxonomy places the organism in Eukaryota, Metazoa, Chordata, Mammalia, Rodentia, Bathyergidae. The record is from RefSeq and is a predicted model, not a curated record.
CUCGAAACCCUUUCUACCCUCCCUUUCCCGAAGAGAAAAAAAUCUCCAGAUUCUGUAACCUCCCACACGUGAACAGGGGCUGCUUAUGGUCCCAGUAGGGCUCCCACUGAAGGGACUGGUUUGGUUCCUCUUUUACCUCUUUGGGAAAUAGAACAGGGUCAUUAUGUCUAUAUCCCUUUCUCUACCAGUGACUUAUAUAAUUAAAAACAUCAAAAUCCCUCUUUUUCAGAAAAAUCUCAGGCUUUGAUCUCCCUCCUAGAAUCUGUUUUUCAUACACAUGACCCAACCUGGGAUGAUUGUCAACAACUUCUCCAAGCCCUUUUCACCUCUGAGGAGAGAGAAAGGAUCCAAGAGCAAGCCAUCAAGUCAGUGUUGGGAAGAACAGAGGGCCCACUUGAUGAACAACGACGAGCCCGUAUUGAGGCACAACUUCCUUCCACCCGUCCCCCGUGGCAAGUUAAUUCCUCAGACAUAGAGACUUAAUGGACCAGGCCCUCCCCUGCACAGAGGCAACGUUAUACACUGAUGGAUACAGUUUUUUUUCAUGAUAAUGUACGGUAUGCUGGAACAGCGGUGGUCAACCAGGACCAACAGGGGAGAUUUAUCAAAAUAGAGGGCUGCUGACCUCCGAAGAAAAGAAAAUUAAAAACAAGGCUGAGAUAUUGACAUUGCUACAAGCCAUCUGGUUGCCUUGAGAGGUCGCCAUCAUCCAAUGCCGUGGGCACCAAAGGGGUUUAGCCCCGAGGUGAUUGGUAAUAAUGCUGCUGAUCAGGCAGCAAAACAAGCUGCCCCAAAAUCAGUGGGGAAACAAAUGGUUCUGCUCCCCACACCAGUACUCCCAGAAAAACCUAAAUACAUGGAUAAAAAAGUAGCAGAAAUAAACAGGAGACACUGGACUCGAGGAAGACAUGGGUGGUGGAUGACCAAUGAUGGAAAGGUGGUGCUCCCAGCUGCUGUAAUAGAUAUGUUACUGUGAGAACUACAUGAGUCCACCCACCUUGGAGAGAAAAAAAUAAUGGCUGCCCUGCGACCUCAUUUCGUCAGCACGGGAUUAGCCCAAAAGGCCCAGGACAUGGUCAGACGAUGCCCCACCUGCCUCAAGGUUUGAUUCCAAGACCCUGGAACCACUUUAGAAGGGACCAGUUCCUGUUGUCCUGUCGACUCCUUGGACAGUAAAGGUAGCCAGACAUUCUGCCUGGAUACAUCACAACCAUCUAAAGGCAGGACCCCCCGCAGACAUCACAAAGGACAAAUAAAAGGUUACCAGCCAACCAGGUGACCUAAAACUGAGACUGGAGUGGGCUAGAGGUGUUUCACAUUCAUGAUAAUGUUCUCUGGGACACUGGCAGUUUUGCCCCCAAGAGGACUAGAUCAUACAAAAAAUGUAUAGAUUCAAUUGACAAACUCCCUUAAUCUGUCCAAAUUCUGUCUGAAUGUUAAUGUAAAUUUCCAUUAUGUGCUGAGAAGCUGUCUUAUUCUGGUAUACACCUCUUUAAAAUUAAUACGACCCUAUACCCUGUUCAAAAACUUCCCAGAAAAGAACCUUACUUAUAUAGAUAGUUAUAACUGGGGACAUGCUUCAUGUCAUAAACCUAAAAAUGCUGUCAAAUUAUAUACACCCAAGGUAAUCAUGUCAAAUAAGACUCCAUGUGCUAUGUAUAAAAAUUGUACAACUAAGUGUCUGAGGAUAAAACAAUCAGAAGAGAUGCCCUGCCAUAUAAAACAAAAAAUUGUAUAUAACAAUUGCCAUAUCUCCCUGCCAAUAGGGUGGUUUUAUACCUGUGAAGGAAUAACCUUCAAUUAUAUUCCAGCAAAUUUAACCAAGACCCAUUGCUGCUUGAGUCGUCUAGCUGUAGUAUUGCCAGAUAGAACUGAUUUGAUUGUGCCUAAUAGAGCUAAACGUUGGUCACCUUACACUGUGCCAAGAUGUGAUGAUGAUGUAGGUCUGUUAACAGAUGCUAAAGUAAUAACUAUGAUAACAUCCUUUGUUGCCCUGCCUUCCAUAGGGGUCCAUGCCGAAAGAACAGCGCAAAAAUUAACGUACAAGGUGGUCAAAGGGUUAAAUACUACCUCAACAGCUUUGACAUUAAUUAACCAAGAGUUACAGGAACAGAGACAGACAAUCUUAGAUAAUAGAGCAACAAUAGACUAUUUGUUGCUCUUCCACCACCAAGGUUGUAAAAGGAUAAAAAAUAUGUGUUGUUUCAAUCUUACCGAUAAUAGUCCAAAAAUCAAAGAAAAGGUAAAACAAUUAAAAGAUCUGGCUCAAAGAGUACAUGACGAAGAUGACAGGGAUUUGUUCAAAUGGCUAACUAAAUGGUUGCCCAACCUAAAAUGGUUAAAACAACUUUUUCUUGUCAUCAUAGUUGUAUAUAUAUGCUUAUUAUUGUCAUGUUGUUGUAUACAAUAGAUGCCUGUAUUUAUGCGUAAGAUUACUUAGGUUAUAAAAAAAAUCAGUGGAGAAUGUGAGACUACAAAACCUUGUAAUCUUAGAAUUCUUGUAGCCCUGACUACAAUUAAAUGUGAGCUAAUGAUUAA